AUUGAACGCUGGCGGCAGGCCUAACACAUGCAAGUCGAACGAGUGGCGGACGGGUGAGUAAUGUCUGGGAAACUGCCUGAUGGAGGGGGAUAACUACUGGAAACGGUAGCUAAUACCGCAUACCAUCGGAUGUGCCCAGAUGGGAUUAGCUAGUUGGGGGGGUAACGGCUCACCAAGGCGACGAUCCCUAGCGGGGCUGAGAGGAUGACCGGCCGCACUGGCACUGAGACACGGACCAGACUCCUACGGUAGGCAGCAGUGGGGAAUAUUGCUAAAUGGGCGAAAGCCUGAUGCAGCCAUGCCGCGUGUAUGAAGAAGGCCUUCGGGUUGUAAAGUACUUUCAGCUGGGAGGCGUGACCCGCAGAAGAAGCACCGGCUAACUCCGUGCCAGCAGCCGCGGUAAUUC
RNAcentral lists this ribosomal RNA (406 nucleotides) under uncultured bacterium. RNAcentral describes it as "partial 16S ribosomal RNA". It matches the Rfam family "Bacterial small subunit ribosomal RNA", at positions 30 to 526 of the family's 1533-position model. The record is from RNAcentral.